RNAcentral lists this long non-coding RNA (35221 nucleotides) under Phoenix dactylifera (date palm). RNAcentral describes it as "long non-coding RNA (PDAC_LNC001671)". Lineage: Eukaryota; Viridiplantae; Streptophyta; Magnoliopsida; Arecales; Arecaceae. The record is from RNAcentral.
GAGAGAGAGAGAGAGGAGGGAUUUGGUUGGCUUGAUACACGCUUGAAGCCACUCUUAUCUUUCAUCCCUUCUCUUGUUUGGUUUUGGUCUUGGUUUUCCUUCCCUCACAUUACUCCUGAUCCAGCUGGGCCAUCAGGAAGAAAGGGGGAUUGGAAAUGGACUUCUUGGAGGGUGGAGAUUCUUUUAAUUUUCUCCUCUCGGUUUCUUCUUCCCUCUUGGGUGGUAGAGAGAGAAGGAGGAGGGGGUUGAAUGGCUGCUGUGCUGUGAUGUUGCGGUUGCUGCUUGGGUACUCACUUGAAGGGGAGAUGGAGGGAUGGGACUUUUAUUAAUUAGAUGGAGCCAAUUUCCUAUAAUGCCCCUACUUUCUUUUAUAGAGAAGCUCCUCUCUGGACAAAUUCUUUUCUUUACCUUGGCCAUGAAGUGCCAUGGGAUGACAUUUUCCUAUUCCGCUCUUGCUUGACAUGAUAAACAAUAUUGCCAAGCAUUAUCUCAGUUAUUUAAUCAGUUUCAUGGCCCUUCUUUUAGGAUAAUUACUUUUUUACACUUCCAUUCAAAAAUAAUAUUAAAUUAAAAAGGUUUCUUGCCUAUCUUUGUUAGAUUCAUGUAUCUUUGUUGAAAUAGUGUACUUGAUAGCUAUCCAUUUUCAUAUCAUUUUUUAAAUAUUUUAUAUUUAUUAAAAAAAUUUAUUAUUUAAAAAAAGGCCUCAUUUAUUGGAUUCGCCUUAGGCCCCCAAAUGUAUUGGGCCGCCCCUGAAUUGCCACCGUGGCUCAAAUUGAUAUCCUGACUAUUCUCCUCUGUUGGUAUAUCAGGCUAAAACCAUUCUUAUUGUGUUUGUUGAUAACAUCAGAGUGCUAGCUUUGGAAUGUGCACCAUAUUAUCCAAGCAUCAUAAAAGCUAAGAGGUCAUAUUACUUAUUAGAUGUAGUACAUUAUGAUGGUGUUGGCGAAGUCUUUUACAUGCUAGGAAUAGGUGGUAUUGUGGUAAUAAUAGGCUUGACAAAGGUUCUUGAUGUGGUGCAGAUAUGGUAGGAAAAGAAGGUGAAGCUGUUUGGCAUGUUGAUUGGAUAACUAAGAGGAAGGGUGGGUUAAGGGAAGGGACUCUCUUUUGUUAAUAUUUGUUCACUGGAAUGUUUAGCAUUUUGAAGUUGGUCAAGGGGUUAUAGGGUUGUAAAUGAUACAAUAAUAUAUCACCCCAAAUGUUUAUAUUGCAUCAUAUGAAUGAUUACUUUAGUUGGACUAUUCUUGCAUCAUCCACAACUGUAUAACCUCUCGAGUGAACACAAAAUAUUAAGGUUUCCUAUGACCAAAAUAUUUGACAAAGGGAGCUUCUUCCCCCACCCACCCUCUCUUUCUCUCACUAGCCAGUCCACACACUAGACAACUUCAACUUCGCUUGACACCAUCUGCCAUGUUUGGCACCGUUGUUGGCCCUGAUGUCGCCUCUUCUCCUCUCCUUAGCCUUCAUCCUUCCCAUCAAAGCCGCUGUCAGUAUUGGUGUUCCCUAUACUAAUUACAUGUCUUGAUUAAUCAAUACUUACUUUCAAACCCUUCUCACACCAAAAAAAAUCCCAGAUCCUGUUGGCUUGUACUCGGUUCUCUCCUGUAAAUCUGUCCCACCCUUAGUGAAUGCAUAGAUAUUCUUCUAAAGAUGGCAUAAGAAGACCCACAUUUGACACUCUUGGUUCUUGAACUUGAGCUGCCAAUGCCCAUGGGAGUUACUGCAUAGAAAACUUUAUUAGAUUGACCAGCUAGUACUUACCUAUGUUGCUAAGUGCUAUCCUCUUCACAAUUAUGGCACAUGUGCUACCUUCCCCAUUCCCAUUAUCAUAAAGGCUUCUUGAUGGGUAACAUUUGAAAGGAAAAGCCGGUUUUUGCAUGCAUGUAAUUUUAAAAUUUUUUAGAAAACGCAGCGGAAAGAUAGAAUUAAACUCUUUAAUUCCAAGCAUGCAAGGGAGAUCAUAUCUUAGAAAUAAAUUACAGGAACGUUUAAACUAUUUAUGUAAAAAUAACUAUAAGCAUGAUUAAUCAUGGAAUUAGAAAAUCAGCAACCCUAGUUAAGUUCUAAACCUAACUAAGAUAAAAUAAAUCUCAUACCUUAUGAUGAAGAGGAUGGAUCUGAAGAUCUGAAAGUCGAGCCUCGCAGCCACACACAUGUCUGGCCUCUACGGAUGAUCCACGCGAAGCUCCGGGUUGAUCUAAUCCCGCGGAAGUGCUAGCUUGUGGGGAACCUGUUGUGGCUGAUUUUGUUCUUCCUAAAAUCAAUCAACCUUUGAUUGAUCUUAUGAGAGGAAGGAGGAAGAUGAAGAAAGAGAAGAUGGGAAGAGAUGAUGUGAUCCUUUUUUGAAUUUUCAGAACUCUAAGUUCUUCAAAUAUUAAUCUCCCAAACCCUUGGCGUGGANNNNNNNNNNNNNNNNNNNNCCCCCUAUAGGCGCCCACUUUUGCCAACUGAUUUGGCAAUUAAAAUCCUUACAAAAUAGGGGUUAUUACGGCAGCCAAGAGGAGGAAAGAUUGCAUCUUUUAUGCACCUUGAAUCCCUAAUAAAAAAGGGAUUCAAGCACCUCCCAAAAACAAGGCUGCCGCCCAUGUUUGCGCCCAAAGAAGGACUCUUAAUUAUCUCGUGAUGGCGCCAACUAUUGGCAAUGAAAUCCCCUAAAAAAUAGGGCUUCAUCACGUGGAAUAUCUGACAGAUCUGGAGAUUUUAUCAGCACCUUGACUCCCUACAAAUUAGGGAGUCUUGCGCCCAAGAAAACAUCCAUACACGCCCCCUUUGAUCUUGCGUUCAAGAGUCCUUCUCAAAGAAGGAUUCUUGCACGAAUUAAUUCCCUAAAUUUAAGGAAGUUUCCACGGCUGAAAACUCUCCCUUUUGGUGCCUACAAAUCCCACGCCAUGAAUCCCAAAAAAUAAGGACUCAUGGCGCUUUGAUUUGUUAUGCUGCAUCCUUAUCUCUUGUGCCAACAACUUGGCGCAAGAGCUCCCUACUUCUUAGGGAUUUAAUGCCCCAAAAAAAAGAAAGAAUUAGCCAUCAGAUGCCCACGCCUCCCAGCAUUAUUCAUGCCAACUAUUUGCCAAAAAAUAUUAGGAGAGGCACUACGAAUUUAGGGGAUAAUGGUGAGGUGUCAUUUCUUCUCCAAGAGGGAAAGCUAGGUUCCUAAAUUUUAGAAAUUCUUCUCCAUAAUAAAUUCUGAUUAUUUGGACUCUUAAUCCUCAUCAAAUAAGGACUCUUAAUUGACUUGAGUCAAGCCCAAUCCAAUUGGGUCAAGUUCGAUCAAUUAGGUUUUGCCCAAUCGGCUUGGAUCGAACCCGGUCGAAUUAGGUCAAACCCAAAUUUAGCCCAAAUUGAAUCUAAUUCAAUUUUGGCUUAAUUAAAAUCCAAUAAUUCAAUCAAAUUGAAUUUAUUAGUAAUCCAAUUACUAAUUAACCUCCAAUAAUUCAAUAAUUAUUUUAAUGCAACUUUUGCUUAGGAUAAUUUGUCAAUCGAAUUGACCAAAUUAUCCCUGAAUGAUUCUUAAUCAUCAAUCAGCCAUUUGAUCAACCUAGAAACUUCUAUGCGUGUGACCCCAUAGGUUCGAACCUAAGCCGGUAGCACAAGAAUAACUUCUUACUAAUCGAAAUGACCAUUUAGCAAUGGUACUCGACGUCCGGAUAGGCCGAAUGUAUGUGAAGCAAAUAUUCUGAAACUCUGGAGUCUGGACUAUGGUUACUGUAUAAUUCAUCCCUUUGACUCCUAAUGCCAGAAUGACUUCAGAGUUCUGUCAACUCUGUAAUAAGUACAUCCUCUAUGUGAUCAACUUUAGAAAUUCUGUGACUCCUCACAAGGAUUACUCUGGCCAAGGUUUUGCUAAAUUGAACACAAAGCAUUAUCUCCUGUUUACAGGAGGGGUCAAUUCCAUCUUGAUUCACGCACUGAUUUCGCAAGUACUUGAUUGCACCCAGUAACCUUCCGUCCUAGAAUUAGAAAUUCUGCUAGUUCGGUACCAAAGUACAGUGAGUUGCUUGCUAAUCACUGUGGUGAUCUCAGGUCUGAGGGAUACUUAUACCCAUAUCCACUCGGAACAUCUCUCAACAGUAGAGUGUUUCGGAAUUGGUCACGUUCAGUGAAAUGUACUCCUACACUUCACCUGUGCGACAUAUCAGUGUCUCCACACUCCUUGGUUAAGAGGACAACCAUCGUAUAUGUCUCACAACGACCUAAUCUCGACCAUGCUAUCGUCCUAUUAACAGCAAAUCAUUUGGUCGCGAACAGGUUUAAGGACUUGAAGAUAAAUCCUCCUUUAUCAUAAAACAAGUCCUAUGGACUUCAUCAUAUAAGAGUUCAUUUGAAGAUGUACAAUGAAAUGAUGAAUAAUGCCAAAUAACAUUUUAUUAAUUUAUCAAUUUAUUUACAAAAUUUAAUCAUCAGCGCAUUGACGAUUGACUCUUAGGAUACAGUUCCCAACAACAUUCAAGGUCUAUGGUGUCUGCCUGGUUCUUAGAUACCCAGGUUUUUCUGUAGGAAGCUCAGUUUGCAGGAGGCUGUGGUGCAAGUUUUUGCUCUUGGGUAUCUCAAUAGUGGUAAUGCACUUGAAUAUGUGAAGCCAAGUGCCUUUCUUGUUGCAAUAUCAACAGAUGAUCCUAACAUGGCCUUGUAGGCAUUGCACCACUACAAAUAGGUGCCCCCACUUCUAUAAGUUGCUUGUGCGGUGGAAACCAUUGAGAUCCUCUUACUGAUGUCAUACUUUUCGUAGGAAACUUUUUUUUGGUGUCAGUACGAAAUUUUUUUGGUGUACCGAGUGUCAGUACGCCACUUGUACCGGUACCAGUACCGAACUGGUACGGUACGGUACGCUCCGUACUGUUCGAUUUGGGCCGGUACGACAUACCAUGGGUUAGGUCUAUUUUGAACCCAAUCCAAUUAGUUAGGAUGGGUAAUAAUUUUAAGUCGACAAUUCGAUUAAGACCCAAUCUGAAUGACUCGACUGAAUAACUAGACCAUACUUGAGCUAAGGUCGAUUUGGUGGAUAAUAAUCUAACCCAAAAAGACUUUUAUAUUAAUAUCAAGUGAGCUUAUAUUUAUGUAACCCAAGACCUGUUGUACCACUUGAUAUAGGGCGUACUGUACCGUACCGAGAGAAAACGGGUACGAAACAUACCUUCAUGUCGGUAUAAGCUCUGUAUCACCUGUACUGAGGCGUACCGAGGUACGUACCGGUGCGUACUGAGGCAUACCGAGAUAAAAAUUGAGAAAAAUGGUUAGAGAGCUAUUUCGGUACAGAAAUGUACUGUACCGUACCAUACCGAACCGAUAAGGUAACAAUUCGGUAUCCGGUACCGAUACGGUAUCCGAUACCGAGAUUGCGGACUUUGAUGUAACCUUUGUACUUUGGAUGCCCAGCUUUAGAUCUUUAUCUAAUGGUUGAACCGUGUAGGGCUUAAAAUGAUCAGGGAGGAGUGCCAGAAAUUCUUGAGCUUGGUAGGGUUUUAGAUUGGACACCUGGGCAGUAUUUGAAUUGCUUUCUCUCAGAACUGUUGAGGGAGUGAAAUGGACUUUUUUGGGACUUUCAUAAUUUAGAUCAGGUCUGAAUCGGCCCUGAUUUCUCAUCUGAUCAGAUUGUGUCAGGCUUUUCAUAUUUUGGUGCCCCCUAUCUGAUCAGAUUCUGACUUGUCAAGAAGCAUAUAUAAGUAAUUUUAAGAAAAAUAAAAGAUUGUUUCUGUGAAGAUACUUUAUUAUUCUGUUACAUAUAAGCAAAAGGUAUUUUAAGGGCAGAAUUUGGGAAUCAGGAAAACAGGAAGUUGAUUAGCUGGUAAGAAAUAAUGGAGAACGUUUCUCAUUAAUUAAAUUUGCAGAUUGUAUGAUUAUGUUCCUUGGCUUUUUUUCCAGUUAAUUAAUUUAUGCUGCUCUUAUUCUAUGGAAUCAGGUUUCUUUGAUCCCUCAACUUGGAGGACCGUGGAUUCAAGGACUGGUGGUAUUAGAAAGUCAGCAAUAUCCUCUUCUACAUGGCUGGUUCUGAAAAUACUUCGAAGUAGAGGUGAGUUUACAUCUCUUUAAGAUUCCCUUGUGCAGACCUACAUUUUUUAAAUCUUUUAAGCUUGAUCUAAUAGCACCUUGAAUGUCUAAGGAUCUGUAUUUUAAAAUGAUGUUAUUCAUUGCUAUUUUGCUUAUCCUGUCUUUUUUUGCUUUUGCUUUAUAAUGCUGAAUUAGGAGAAAUGAUAUUAGGAUAUGGUAAUUUUGAGGCCUAAGGAUCAGAUUAGAAUCAGUGUUGAUGUAGGUUCUAUCAAACUAAAUUCAAAACAAUGAAACAAGCUUGCCAUUUUUGUCUAAAAUUUAACUCUAUGAUCAUGUAUGUUUCUUCAUUUAUUUGUUUGCAGUCAUAUUUUCAAAACUGCUGAAAUUGUUUACUGGUAUAAGUGGUCAUAUUUUUAAUGUUGAAGAGCAUUGCAUUUUUGACUCAAGUGGUUUAUAUGCAGUAAAAGCUAAUCAUGCAUGACUACCUCAACCUUCUGUAUCUCUUAGCCUGAAGACUAAGAAGAUACCUGCAUAACUUAUUACAAUUGCAGGAAAAAAUUCGAAUUGGCCACAUUACAUGCACGCACGCACGUGGACACGGGCACGUACAUAAGUACUUAUAUACAUGUAUGCAUACAUACAUAUGUACACACAUAAACAUACAUACAUACAUGUAAGAAUACCUCAACCUUUUAUAUCUCUCAGCCUGAAGAUUAAUAAGAUAAUUGUAUCUGUUAUUAUGAUUGUAGGGAAAAGGCCGAAUUGGCCAUACAGAGGGACACACAAGAUACAUAGACAUACGCAAGAUACACGUACAUAGACAUACGCAAGAAUUAAAAUGCAGUUUAGGCCUUUUCUGUAAGACUGACUGUGUUUAUGCAGUGUGCACAGUGUGUUGUUAAUAUGUCAACAUAGUUUUGAGUUUCUAUCUGACGUUAAUCAAGAAUAUUGAGCUAGUUUCUGUUGCUAAUAUUUUUAAAUAGGUCGUCUAAUAUUAGCUUGCAUGCAAAUUACUUGAAAUUUUACAAUUCUCAUGCAAAACAACAAUCAUGAUGGUCAUCAAGGAUGAUUAAUAUCCCUACUUUCUUAGAUUAAUUGAAAACUAUUUUUAGUUGUUUGAUACAAGGAUCGCCGAACCAGUACCAGUAGGCAUACCGGUCGGCCACCGGACCGGUUCGGUACUGGUUCAGGCCGGUACGAACCAGUACACUGGUUCGGUCUGGUUCAUGCAUCCAAAAGCCCAAAAAAAUUUGCAACCAGUAUGGACCGGUUUAGGCCGGUACACUUUGGCUGGUACGGGCCAGUACGGUUCGGGCUGGUAUGGGCCGGUACGGUUCGGCUAGUUUAGACCGGUACCGUUUUUUAACUUCGAGCUGGACCGGCCAGAGACCGAAAUGGUUCGGUACGGGCUGAACCGGCCCGUAAGCCGGUAUGGGCCGGUUCAUCAUUUCUUUAUUUGAUAUAUAUAUUUAUAUGCUAGUACUGGCAGUUAAAAUCUUAUCUACAUUAGAAAAUGACUGAAGUAGUCUAUCUUAGAUUGUUUCUCGUGAAUCUUGUUAUAGACUUGCAUAUCUCUCUAUGCAAGUGUGCGCCAAGUGUUUGUGUGGUACGAUGAAUGUGUGUGGUGUGCAGGGCAACUAAUACUCCGAUCUUUGUUUAACCACAAAUAGUUUAGAAACAUGUUAAAAAAAUUGACAAAUUCUAUGAAUUAAAAAGCAAGGAACAGUCCAAAAGAAUUCUGUGGAAUGUGGAUUAUACCUUUCUGAAAUUAGUCCCAUUUAUCUAAUGGCCUACAUUGAGGUGUUCACAGGUGCAAGUUUAUGAAGAUGCCAUCCUUUAUUAUUUGUAAGUGACUUUUGGAUAAAUGAGCCAAGAUCCGACUAAAGUUGGUUCUUGUUUCAUUAAUAUUUGAUUUAUCUUUUUGUAGAGUAAUAAAAGUUAUUCUUUUAUUUAGUGAAAAAUCCAAGGAGUUAAUAUUUGUGAUAGAAAAAAAAUAAAAGUAAAAAAUGAAAAUAAAUCAGAGUUUUAACUUUCAAGGAAUUACUGAAAUGAAAACUGAUUUGUUAGAUUUGAGUUUUGAUAUUGUUGAGGUGUUGGUGUUUCUUUAAUUAUGGUCGUUUAGAUUAGAAGCUUGGUGAUGUUGCUUAAGUUCAGUCCUGACAUUUCGUUUAUUCAAGAUGAUUCCUUCAUGGUUGAUAGUUUUUAUUGGAAAAAAGAGUGUAUCCCCUAAAUAUUAGAUAGGAAUAUUUUUGGAACUAAGAAAAUAGGAUGGCUAGGAUGUGAACUGUGCUUAUCCAAAUCUCGACCUUGCAGUGCUGUGCGAAACGAUGGUUUGCUGUAUUGGCCCGAUUUGGGUGGUACGAAGUGUACUAUACCGGUUUGGUACUGGUAUCCUAUACAGAUGGCAUACCGACACUCGGUAUGUCGAAAAGACUCCAUACCGUACUAUACCGACACAACACUAGUGUGGCACCGAUAUGGGGUCCGGUACCGAGAUGACGAAUCUUAUGCUAAACAAUGUAUGACUUCAAGGGUAUCAAGAAUGGGUCAAUCUGCUAUAAAGUAAGACCGUGGCUUAUCAUACUGUAUCGAGAGAAAAUUUGUACGAAACUUAACUUUAAGUCGUUAUAAACCCCGUACCGAGGCGUACUGCCCUAUAUCGACCUGUACCGAGGUGUACUGAGGUGCGUACUGAGGCAUAUCGAGAUAAAAAUUGGAAAAAAUGGUUGGAGAGCUAUCUUGGUACAGGACUGUAUCGUACCGUACUGAAUCGAUAAGUUACCGAAACGGUAUCUGGUACCGAGCUUGUGGACCUUGAGUAAGACAAUAAAAAAUGAUUUGGUAUUGAAAUUAGUAUUCUUUGUACAUCCAUGAUUAAUAUAUUGAGUACAUGUGUGCAUUAUUUGUAUUCAAGUCGAUAAGGAAUAAACUAUUAUUGAGGUAUGUUGCAUGCAGGAUUUGAAUCCUAUCUUGUUGGUGGGUGUGUGAGGGACUUACUCUUGAAGAGAACGCCAAAAGAUUUUGAUGUGAUUACCACUGCUAGUCUUGAACAGGUUUUCCAAGUCCUUGGCUUGUUUGGAGAUGCAUCAAGAGGUUUUGAUGUUAUAUGUUAAUUCUUUUUUUCUUUUAAAUUUGACUUGAACCAUUGCCUUUUCUCGCACAGAUUACAAAGCAAUUUCAUAAAUGUAGAAUUAUAGGGCGUCGUUUCCCAAUAUGCCAGGUUCAUAUCCUAGGCUCCAUUAUCGAGGUUUGUGCAUCUUCUGACAUUGUCAAACUUGAUUAUUUUUGUGUUUUAGAACCUAAUUUAGUUGCCAAUCGGAUUCUUUCUGUGCUAGGUUUCCAGCUUUGACACCAGACAGAAAAAUGUCAAAGAAAGAAGAGUACCCAAUAAUUGUGCUGAGAAAGACUUUAUUCGCUGGAAAAAUUGCAUGGAAAGAGAUUUUACAAUUAAUGGGUAAUUAUGUGUUGUGCUAUUAGUUUAUGUUGAAAAAGUGUUCCAUCCAAAUCUGUUUUACACACUAAUUUUCCUAAUUUAAGUCUGAAGGAUGGUUAUCUGAUAACCACAGUUUAGACUUUAGAGUUUGCUAUUGACAGGAAAAUUGAUUUGUUAUGAUGUCGAUAUUUUUCUUGACAGUUUAUUCUUUGACCCCAUUGACUGUACCAUCUAUGAUUAUGUUGGUGGAAUUAGGGAUUUAAGGACAUCUAAGGUGAUUCUUCAUUAUUUAUUUUAUUGUUAAUAAGCAUGUAACAGCUACAUUAAAUCUUUCAAAUUCAUUUUUUGGAAUAAGAUUGGUCUCUUGUUUUGUUUGUAUACUUGUAUGAAUAGGUGCGUACUGUAAUUCCAGCUCAUUUAUCAUUUAAAGAGGACUGUGGUAUGUUCUAGUCUUGUGUAAUUGAAAAAAUUUUCAUUCUUAUUAAUAUUCACAACUUAGAGAUAAGGGCUAAACUUAUUUUUAUUAGAAAAGCUGACAACUUUGAUCAAUGGCAGCAAGAAUUUUGCGUGGCUUGAGAAUUGUUGCUCGUCUUGGUUUGCGAUUUUCAAAGGAGACUGCAGAAGCUAUACAAGAUUAUUCUGCUUCCAUCAUAACACUUGACAAGGUACUUGAAGAAGGAUUAGUAAUUGGCCAAAGGAUACUCCUCUUAAGGGUCACCUUGUGCCGUUUCUUUAACACAUAUCAGCUUUCUUUCUUUAGACAAGGUUGCUGAUGGAAUUGAAUUUUAUGCUGGCAUAUGGGGCAGCUGAGUCCUCAAUUCAUUUACUUCAGAAGUUCAAACUUCUUGAAAUCUUGCUUCCCUUUCAUGUGAGUGGAAAUGCAGUUACAUCUAAAUUUACUCAGUGUUGUAAGUCCUCUAUAAAAUUUUCAGUUUUAUUAGAAAUUUGUUUGGGCUUCAGGCAGCAUAUCUGGCUGAUCAAACCAAGAAGCAAUCUAAUGAAAGCUCUGUUAUGCUGAUGGUAAGAUGCUGUGCCCUGGGAAAUAUAACCAAACUGAAUUAUGCAUGUCUAAAUUAUAUUUGUCUUGCCAUGAGUUGAAUGUUUCUGUUCUAAACUUGUAGAUCUUUUGGAUUAUAAUAUGAACUAUAGCAAUAAUGUGGUCUUUUGCCUUAUGUUAAUGUCUGACAGUCAAAAACAAUCUAUAAGCAGAUCAUAAGUUGACUUAUGCAUUAAAGCUCUUUGUUUACUGAAGAAAAGGAUUUGGUUCCUGUAGUUAUAGAAUUAUUAAGUAGGCAAACGAAGUGAGUUAUGUUUAUGGUUGUUGGCGCUUUAACUUAGGUCAUUUGAGUUUGUUGUCCAAGUAUGAUAAAAACUAGUGGAAUUGAACUAGUAUUGGUAAAUCCUUUAUUCUUGUUCUUCAAGGAUCUUUUGUCACAGGUGGUUGUGAACUAGGUGUAAAUCCUAACACCAGUAGAUGCAUUUCAUUCCUAGUCCAGUAGGAGUAAGACCCAAUCGACCUAUGCAUUUCUCUGAUAUACAAGUGGCUGUUCUACUUUGUGAAGCAGUAUAAUUCUCUAUAGAAACAAUGGGUAAUUCUUAAUGCUAAUUCUUUUUAUGUAUCUGCUGUUGCUAAUGCUAGAAUUUGUUAUAGGGAAAUUCUUAAACAAGAGUUCUUGAAUGUUUGCUGUACAUCCCUUGAAAACUCGCCUUGCUUUUUGGCAUUGAAAGCUUCUUCAAUUAUUUCUUCAAAUGUGGCAUGGGCGUUUUUUGUGAAAGAACUCAAUUGUUGUGGCUUAAACAAAUUUCCAUGGAGUGUUCGGUAAAUACAAGAAGAUUAGUGCCUAGACAGAGUGUAAUGACUAAUUCAAGUCCAAAAGUUGGAGCAAGGUUCGUUGUCUCGGUAUUAGACCCGGUACCGGCACCAACUUAGUACAAUAUCGGUAUGCUUGGUAUGGAGUCAGUUUGGUAUACGGAUACUCGAUAUGUUGCCCAUACCAUAUACUGGUUCGGAACUGGUACAAUAUAGUAUUCUCAGUAUGUAUCAAUAUUGACCGGUAUGAUGUACCAUAUUGGAGUAAAUUCUAGAGAUUGUUACUUUCAUUCCUGCAUUUUAAUUUAUUUGAUAUUCAAAUCUGCAAACCUCCCAUUGCAAAAGGGUAAUAUUUCUUUUGUUCUCUUUUGAUUUGAGAGCCCCUCACUUCACCCACCCGUUUACCCAUUUAAUUCAUCAUAGAGUGUUCUAUACUUUUAGAAUGCUUGAUGGCAACCUAAAACUUAAAAAAAUUAAGGAGAUAUUAAGAGCUAUUAAAUCUUUCUUUUUGGGAAAAUUGCAAGAUUUUCUUUUACAAUUUAAAACAUUUCGUGAUAGAUCCACAGCAUUUGGAUAUAGAGUGUCAAGACCACAAAUUUGAACUUGCUCGAAACCUAAGGUUUGUGGCCACCAUAGCCAAAUGAAUCUAACAUUAAAAUUUAAAUCAUCAUAAAAAAUAGCUUAUGAUUGAACAAAUCAUGAAGAACAUUUCAUUAUCAUAAAAUUCUACUUACAUAUUUCCUUACAAGCAGUGCUAUUCCUUCUGGAAUAUCAAGAAGAAAUGAAAUACUAUAUUUCCAGUUUUGUUUCAAUAUUCAGUCGAUCUGCAAAAGGCAACCUCCACUUAUCGAGUCUUCUUCUCUAAAAGGUCCACUUCCUCAUUAUUGAUGCUGAAAAGAUUAAUAAGUGUAGUGAAGCGCAGUAAGAAACUUUACCAUGGUCCAAAUAUUUUUGUAUUGAAAAUAAAUAUCUUUUUAUAUGAAACAUAUUAUCAAAUAUCACUUAAAGACUGAGUAUAAAUUCAUUUGAAUCAUUUUAUAAUAUAUCUGGAAAUCAAAGCAUUUGACAAGAAAUAAGAUACCAUUAAAGGCUCGGAACAUAGGUUUAGUAAGAGUUCAAUGGUCCAUGUAUAACCAUAAAUUGAACAAUUAUCCAAAAAUUGAGGUGAGAAAUCUAAAUCUCUAACAACUAAGAGAAUGUUAAAAAUGAUAAGAUCACAUUUGACAUUUUAUUCUGAAUUUUCACAUAUUUUGACAUUUUCUUACAAGGUUCACUUAUUGGAUUGACCUCGAGGCCACUCAUAACCUCGUUGCUUAUGCAAGCAAAGCACUUAUAUCCUCAUCUAAGAAUCGAAUGAGGCCACUUAUUAUCCUUUCUGCUGAUGCAAAUGAGGCCACUCGUUAUCUUUGAGGUCCACUCAUACCAAUUGGCCAAGUGUCCACAAGUCACUUAUUUAGUGGUUCCUUGUCAAUAUUGAGCGAGGCCACACAUAUACCAUCUGAUUGGGGUCCGGAAAUAUGCUCAUUAGUAAUCCAGAUUAGAUCAUGAUACUACAGAAGUGGAGGUUCCUCAUUGAUGAACCGAAUGAGGCCACUAAUAUGCCACCUAGCAAUGGACCCACUCAUCUUGGUGCUUAUUUCAUUUUUGAAAAUGCUCACAAGUAUCUGGUGAAACAUUUAUUAGAAAGUUUCGAAAGUAAACACAUGUAAUAAGAAGUUCUAGUGAGUAGAGAAUAUGAAGUCAAACAUGAGACUGACAACAUCAAUUAGAGGACUCAUGAAAUUUCAUAGUUUCAAAUAGAUACUACAACAUGAUUUCAUUAGUGUGGGACUACAACACAAGUCAAAAUCAUCAUAAUACGAAACAUCUUUAGAAAUCAAAUCUAUGGCAGAGUCAAAAAUUCAAGAAAAUGCUAGGUUUCAAAAAGCGACUCGUGGUUUAUGUUAUCAAAGCAAUACUUUAGUUAAAAAGGUUUUCACGAAUUGAUUCUCAAAAUUCAGAUUUAAAAUCCUACUUAGACUCUUAGGAUUCAAAGAAUUUCAAAACCCUUCAUAAGCUUAAAACUGAUUAUGAUUCAAAAACACAUCAAAUUCAAACUUAAACAAAGUCUUGAAGUUACUUGCAAGGGAAACUAUAGAUUGUGGGAAAGACCAUGCAACUUAGAAUUUAAUGAUACACAAGCUUAAAACUAACUAAGAGAUCCAAAAGAAACACUAAUCAAAUAAAAACUUAAAUGAAAAGACAUGGAGGAUGUUACUUAUAGAUUAACAUUGAUAGAAGCCCAAAUUCCUUCCUCCUCCUCCUCCUCCUGCUCUUCUUCUCCUUCCUUUGCUUUUUCUUUUUACUUAGCUAGUCACCCUUGCAUAAGACAGGUUGGCUGAGCAAGUGGGACCCAAGAGGUGACUCACCUACUUAGGUCGGUUGCCUAAGUGGGUUGGUUCCCUUGGUCACAAUGGGAUGUCGGUUGAUGACUUAGCAGGCUAAAUACCAACAAGGCCCUUAAAAAUAACAUUACUUUAAAUCUUCUUCAUUUUUUUUCAUUUCUGUUUCUAUUUACUUAAGAUAUUACAUGUAAAUAAGGAAGUAUCCCCAUUUGAGUUCAAUAAAAAUACUCAAAAUAUUGAAUUCCUUAGGAAUUAAAAGUUGGUUUUUUAGCUUUAGUUCAAUCUUUAGAUUUUUAUCAUAACGUCAAAUAUGCAAUUUUAAAAUGCUAAGUUGUUUCUUAAAUCUAAAGAUCCCAUAAAUUCUAUUAUGCCAAACAUAGCUAAAAUCCAAAAGUUCCCUAGCAAAUGUCUUAUGGAUUAUUCACGAAAGCAUAUCACAUAUUUCAAUACUACUUAGCACUUAACAUAUUGACAGAAGGUUCAUAUUUUAAUCUUACACACAUCCGUAUGUAUUUAUCCAUGUACAUGAUGGCUAUUACACAAGAUUAUGAGACCUUCUAGAUAGGAGAUAUGAGAUCAAAUCACAUAAAUCUGACAUCAAAUCUUUGGGUUCGUUAUUGUGAGGCUCAAUUUAUUCUGCAAACCCCACAUGACCUCAUCUUUUUCCCUCAACAAUUUCUUAAAACUACAAAGAAUAUCUUAAUCCUUUACAGAUAUUCUCUUUUCUUGAAUAUCCUGCAACCAAUCACCCAAUUGUAUUUUUUUCCUUAAAGGUUUCAAAAUUUGACUUUAACGUGGGCAAAAUACUUUCUAGAAUUUAAAUAAAUAAAUUAAUGACUAAUGAUAAAACCAGUUGCCUUAUGUACAUUAAAUAUUAUAUCAUAGGUCAUUUCAUCCAAGACUUUAGAACUAGCCUUUGUUGUUAAUUGGUUGCAAAAGAAACCAAAAAUUCUUUCUUGGUUUCGGAGUUCUAACUGAAACUCAAAAUCAUCUUCCGAUCUCUUUUGAUGUUUGAUACAUCUAAGUCUUUGUUCAAGCAGGUUGCAAAAUCCAAUACCAUGGGGCCCAACUCAAAUUUUAGUAAAUUUGACCCUUCUUAAAAAGACCGUGGUAUGGAUUUUUUUUUUGAAAAUUUUGGUAAUGUUUUCAAAUUUUAGUGGUUAUUUGUAGUGAAUGAUUGAAUUGUUUUCUUACUUUCAAAUUUAUGGUCUAAGCAUAGUUUUUCUUUUGUGCCCCUCCUAGAAUUUUCUCUGCUUGACUACAUAUGUUAAAUAUCUGUUACAAAUUUUAGGUCUAUUCAACAUGUGAAAUUGAUAUCUUGGAGCUCUUGCACACCAAAUGUUUUUGUCACGACCUAGUGUCAGGCUUUGCCAAGUUUUGAGUGUGACGAUGAUCAUGGUGAACCAAUUGCCUGAAUUCAAUUUAAUUAAUUUUUGUGGAAGCCUGUAAUUCUCAAUAUAAUGAGUCAUGAAGUCCUAAAGGCUAUGGGAUCAUAUAUAGCAACUUAAGCGUCAUUCCAAUUUAAAUAUUAUCCGCCCCCCAAUCCUGAAAUUAAAACAAGGUUUGAUUCUUUCCAUGAUCUUAUAAUAUGCCAGAUAGUUCAUUAUAAAGACGAAUAGCUGGUACCAUGAUCUCUACACCCUUGGACAUGAUGGAUUCAUUCAUUGGGCUUGUCAAUUAAAUUUUAUUUAAUUUUGUUUCAUGUUUAUUUUUCUUGAUAUUUUCUUUGGCAUAUAUCUGAUGAACUAUAUCUAGCUUGUCAUGAAAAAAGUUCUCCUCCCUCUCUCCUAUAUACAUACAGGCAACACACACAAAAUACAUACAUACAUACACACACACACACACACACACACAAUAAAACUCCAUUACCAAAACCACAAGACAUGUAUGUUAUAUAUAUAUAUAUAUAUAUAUAUAUUNNNNNNNNNNNNNNNNNNNNGUUAUAUAUAUAUAUAUAUAUAUAUAUAUUUGUCAAAUCUCUCUAAUGCUAUGGAUUUUGUGUUCUACAGAAAUUAUUCUCCAAUGUUGAUAAAUUACUUGCUGCUGACCGCCCAUCGAAUUACUAUUUAUGGUGAGAAACUUUUCACUUAAUGAUUAUGUGACAUUGAAUGUAUAUAUGAACAAACUUUUUUUUAUGCAUUGGUUGGUUUGUCCCUAGUGGGGGCGGGGGGCGGAGGAUGGAAUCAGAAACUAGAAUGGAUAGAAUGGAUAAAGUUCAUGACAAUUCUAUUUUUAUGUUUGGUUGUUGCUCCAAUUAUUUUAUCUUUAGUUACCAUAACAACAACUAUGCAACCACCAUGGUUAUUCUAAUUGUGGGUCCUAUUAUCUAGAAGUUUUUAGAAAAGGUGGAUUUCCAUGAGAAUCCAAAAAAGCAGAAUCACCUGGACUCUUGUGUCCAUCUUGAAGAAUCUAUAUGAAAUACAUAUUGGCGGGUUAGAUAUGCAUUGGACACUGUUGAUCCUUGGCAAAUCUUCUAACUGCAGAUUCUAAAGAUUGUCAGAAUUCGAUUUUCGGAAUACCUAUGAUCACUUCACAGUAUAUAUGGAAGCAUCACAGAGUUACUAGCUUACUCCUUUCCAAUCUUACAUGUUGAAGAAGUUGCCAUUUUAUAAUGUUUGAGACUGAACAACAUGGGACUAUUUUCUUCCUAUUUAUCUCUGUUAUCCUUUUUUAUUAACACUUGCCAAAUCAAACUCUUUGUUAUACAACCAAUCCAGUAACUGGUUUUGCGUCCAUGCAACGCUGGGAGAGAGGCUGAUCUUAUUUUGAAUUUAUUAUUUCUUUUGGAGUCUUUUCCCCUCGAAAAUUCAAUAACUCCGUUUAUUCCUCUUAACAUUUUUGGGUGUUAUUUUUUUUUUUUGGAGCAGCAUCUUCUUUUUAUGUAGUAUCACAUUCAUGAUAGAAGAUUCAUGUAUGGCAAAAAUGGAGGCUGAGAUCAAUGCUUUCUAUGGGUUUGUUGGAACAAAGUUGAUUAUCCAUUAUCACUAAGAUUUCUCAAGAUAUUUCAGCCAUUUAUUUCAAAUAUGAACAUCUCUUAGCAACCACUCAUAAAUAUGGGCAAGUUUUGAGUUUUUAAUCCUGAUGAUUUGGAUUUUCACAUCAUUCCUUACAACAGUAAUCAAGAGAAAUUAAUCGAUACUCAAGUUUCAUGUCUUUGCAUUCUGAGGUCUGAGGGUGGUGAUUUGACAGCUCAGGUCUGCUAAAUACUAAAAGAUAAGUUACUGUAGUGUCCUUUCUCUUUGAAAAUAAGACUUAUUUGAUGGCAAUAAUGGCUGGGAAACAUAAUUGGCCUAUGCCUUGGGUAGACUUGACUAAGGCUUUAUGUUUAAUGUUCAAUGGACUAGCCAAACAUGGGAAAAUUGCCGCAAGCUUUACCAUUGUUGACGAUCAAAAUUUGACUGUAAUGUAACAAAGAAUAAGUAGAUUUGUUGAAAUUUGAUUGGAUAUAUUAGUGGACCUUAAUAAGUUAUGUCUCUAACAAGGAAUAGUAGAUUUGUUGAAAUUUGAUUGGAUAUAGUAGUGGACCUUAUAAGUUAUGUCUCUUAAUUAGUUAUUAUAUGAGAUUGAAUUGUAACUGACCAAUAACUAAUUGAGGACAUUAUGGCCAAUCUGUAAUCAUGAGGGGAAAGCACUGAAUAUUAAAAUAAGAUUGACUGAAGUGGCUGUAUCAAAUCGUUAUCUUAUCCCUUGUCUUUGACUUUUCAUCUUCUGGAUUUCUCUUUUCACAUAUUCUCACUUCUCUCUUCCUUACUCUUCCUUUCCAUUCUUGGGUAGAUAGAAUGGUAAUAGCGAUGAUCUAAUGAGAUAGAUCGCCUCCAAUUGCUUGACCCUUGUGAAGUUGGUCACGAAGGAGAAACUCUUUGAUGUACUUCAGGCUUGUUAUUAUUGUAUGUGGGAUCCAUGUGAGCACCAAAAAUGCUUUUUCCCAACUUAUGAUUAUUAUUAUAUGAACAUGGGUUGUUGUUGAAGUUCAAAGUCUGAAAUUAGUUUAUCUAUCCAAAUUGAUGUUUUAAGGCUAUUGGAUGCUGUGCGGUGAAGGCAAGCCUGAAGUUACUUUCUUCCAUUUUAGGGCUUGUUUGGAUGAUUGGGCUGAAAAUUCUAUUAGAUUUGUGGAUUGGGCCAGUACAACUAGUAACAUUAUAGGAUUACAGGCUGGGAUAGGCCUAUAUUCAUGAGUACCCAGGAAUAGCUAUGGAGUGGGCUGGUCCGAAUCCCAUAGGGAGAGAAAAAAAGACCUUAGCAGGUAAUCCUAUGGGAUCUAGGCUGGCGCACUCCAAAGCUAUUCCUAGCUACUUGAAUAUAGGCAUAGCCUAGAUUGCAAUUCUGUGAUUUUGCUGGUUGUAUUGGCCCAAUCUACAAAUCCAAUAGAAUUUUCAACCCAAUCAUCCAAAUAGGUCCUUAUAGUUGCAUGACUAUUUUGUUUAUUUAAGUCAACACAAUUAAGGUCUCGUUUCAUUUAAUUUUUUCUCUUUGCUUUAAUAGUAUUUCAUUUUCCGUCAUAUUUUUAGUACCCUUUGUUUCUUGUAUGUACCACUAUUUUCUUUAUUUUCAGUUUGCUUGUUCGAGACUUUGCCGAGCACAUUUUCCUUGUCUGUUAAAUCUAACUGAAAGUUCUCUUGUAUUUUAGGACAAUAUACAAAAUGCAGGUUUCAUUUUGCUUGGUGAGAAAAGCUAGCUAAAUUGAAACUGUUCAUAAAACUUAACCUUUAUCAUGUUCUUGGUAUGGUCAUGGAAUCCUUUUAUAGAUUAGUACGACAAUGCUUACAGUUAGGUGUUGAUAUGCAGUUGGAUUUUUCAUAUUGCCAGCACUUAUGAUUUAUUGCUUCAUGAUCUUUCAUUGAUGAAUCACACAUUGGAAUCAGGCUAGGAUUGUUGGCAUUUCACCUGGCAUUAGUAGAACAUCCUCAAGAUGCUUUAGUAGUUUGGACACUCUCCUCUAUCUUGUACCAUGGAAUGUGGAGUAAAGCCAUGGAGUUUGCAAGACAAAAUGUUAAAGGUCAUGGUCAGUUUGUUCCCGAAAUUUUAGAACCUUCUGAAUCUAAAUCAGAUGAGCUACUCCUGGAAGAAACCUGUCAUCUAGCAUCAUUGGUUAAAUCUUCUGUAGAUGCUUUAACCAGAAUAGAUGUUCUUCAGCAAUCAUUGACCAGAUACCCAGAGUCUUUGCCAUGUUUGGGACUGGUAAGUAUAGAUCAUCAUGCUGCUCUAUGUUCUUUUGAAAAAUCUUGUCCAUAUGAGUUUUGUUUCUGAAUGCACUAAUGUUAUCUGUCCAUAUGCAUUCAGGUAGUUUCUAUGUCAUUGUGUUUAUCUAUAAAUAUAUAUUAAUUUGGUGUGAUCCUUCAUAACAUGCACUCUCUAUUGGGUGAUGAUGGUAAUUUAUAAUUUUAUCCUUUUGCAUCCUACAUCCUGUUAAAUAUAUUAUUGUCCUGUAGCACAUCGCUGGUAUAUUCUAUAGUUGUUUAAAGAACUGGGAAUUCAUCAUCUUCUUUUUUAAACAUUCUGCUUUGGUUGGGAUACAUACACACCCACUAGUUGUACUGUACAUGCUUAUGCACGUUGAUCCAAUAAAAGUACUGAUUAAUGAAGUAGCAACAUUAAAAUAGAGAAUGCAAAUAAAACAUAAAGAACAAAAGGAAUACUUAUUUUAUAUAGUUGCUAAAACAUAACAGAAUAGCGAACACAGUGACAUAGCAUUCGAGACUGAAAACGAUGAAAUUUCCAUUCUCAACUUCUCAUAUUCUAACUCAAAUACUAUAUUUGAAUAAAGAUAGAUUUUCUGCAAAUUAAUUUGGAUGUUAUAACCCUCUAGUAAUGAUUAGCUGUUGAUACAUCAGGACAUUUGUAGGUGAUUUCUUUUGCAGUAUUGUAGUAAGUGAAUCUUCAAUGGAGUCAUUGCUAUGAACAUUCCCUCGGUCACCCUGUUGGUUCAUCAAGCCGCACUGCAUGAGGGUAUUGGUGCUUUCUCAGGGGUUGGUGACAUGAUGGGAUGGUUGAAUCAUGAUGCAUGGCAAUUUGGCAUGAGUAACUCACAUGGUGAUUGAGCAGGGAUUUUUAUUGUUUGUCAUUCAGUCAAAAGAAUUGAACCUAUUUGAUGCAUGAUCAGAAGAUGGGUAAUGCUUCAACAUGCACUAACAGAUGUUGCAUAAUUACUAAGAAAUUUCUUUGAAAUCCUUUCUUAUUAUUUGUUUUACACAUAUAAGGAGAGAGAAAAAGGGGUUGAGAGCGAAUCUUUAAUUGUAUUUGGGUUUUAGAGUCCACCAGCUUGCUAAAAAUGAGAAUAUUCUGCAAGGCAGUAGUUAUUUGCAUAAGGGUAGAGUCCACUGGAUUGCUAAAAGUAAGAAAUUCUGCAAGAGAUUAGUUUUUUGCAGAGUUUAGGUGUGUAGUCAGGAGGGAAGAUGCUUGCAUAUGGAUGAGUGAUAUAAUGUUGAUUGGACCCAAGAGCCUAGGCCCUAGAGAUUUAUGUUGGGCUUCCUCUUAUGUGCUGACUUUAGUGGGUCUUCUUAAACCUAUCCUCACUGGCUUAGAUAAAUUCUGGUAGAAUAUAUUUAAGGGUUAAUUGAUUGUUGCCUAGGAUGUAUUCAGUUGGAUUCUGGAUCUGCCUAAGGAGUGCAUUAGAUUUCAGGAAAGAGAGAUGUUAUAUGUGGCCUCCCUUGUGACUCCUAAAAAAUAAAUCCCAGUUAGGGUUCAGGCAUAUGACAACAACUUGGCAAGGUGCGAACUUUUGUAAUAUUAGAGAAGGAUGUGAAGACAAAUAAGGAAAGGAACACUUAUCCGUAUCGUGGCAUUAGGUCUCUGGGUAAUAGAAGGAAGAUUUGGUGAUUUUGUGAGGCAUAGAUCAUUGGAUCCCAAAGCUAUAGGCUUAGCUAUGUGAUUUUUUUUAGGAAACCACGAGCAUGAAACCAGCAUGGUGCAUAGGAUGGUACAGAAGAGUAAAAAAGGGAACAAUGUAGGAAGUACUGUGUCAUGGGAACCCAGGAAUUAGAAUGGUGUAAUUCUAGGAAACAGAAAAUUAUAAUAAAUAUUAUAAAUGAAUAUGUAAGAAAAGCUAAACUCCUUUUUGGUAAUCAUCUCUCUAACCCCGGCACCCCCUAACCGCAACCAACUGCACAUGCACAAACUCCUUUUUGGUAAUCAGACCGAUAUUCCAUUAUUUCUUGAAUGCUGUGUGUGUUGAACUAAUAGGAAUCAGCAUUUAGCCAACUGAGCACUUUGAACUUCUUGGAUUUCAGGUAUUUGUCUCUGAGAAAAUGGGAAAGAGUGUAGCCGAACUCUUCGAUGUCCUUGGAAAUGAUAUAACAUCCCAUGACAAGAAGAGAGAGACACGUGACAUUAAUUAUGAGCUGCUAAAGAGAGGGGAUCUAGGUGAAACCAGAUUUGUGCUUGGAAAAGUAAUCAUGGAUACAAUGAAUUGUCAGCUUACUCUUUUACAAAGUCAGAAUGUGGCUCCUGCAAAAAAAAGCUAUGUUCCGUUGUCUUCUUUGUUCAGGUAAUUUAUCCUUAAAAACUACCAGAAAAGAAUUUGAUACCUCUUUUUGUUUGAAUGUAUGAGAUUGAUUCCAUCAAGCUGCUCUUCAAUUUUCCAAUUGUUGCAGCUGAGGCACUUUAUGGAGUUUACGUUGAUCACCCUACUGAUUGAUUGUCAUGGAGCUUCGUGGCUAGGUCAGGCAGUUGAUUUUGUAUCGAGCAGCCUCUCGUAUUAAGGGCAUAAAAUUUCCUUAUUUUUUAGAAAUCAAUUUUCAUUUGUGUACAUUGUGUGUAUCUCAUUAUCAACAUUGAUGUACAUUGUAUGCCGCAUGGUGUACUGACUUCGAGCCCACUUUAAUCUCAAGUCAGUAAUCAUCAUUUUUUAUUUUCUUUUUUUAACAGUCUCUAGAUCAUAUAAUCUUUUUAUUCGUAGAUAUUUUAGAACUUGUUGAUGACAUACUAUGGUUUAGAUUUUGAUCUUGCAACUCUAAAGAUCGAUUGUGACAAUGGGUGUGAAGUCCUUUUUCUUACCAAUGAGAAUGCAAAUAUGCUUGACCUCUUGGUGAAGGUGUCAAGUUGACCCAAAACUAAAGCAUUAUAUCUAUCACACCUCUGACCUGAGAUCAGAAAUUGGCUGACAUGGCAACCACCACAUACUUAAAAAGGUAUUAUCCCACAAGAAUGUAAGGUGUCCAUCAUGAUAUCAUAAUAGAAUAAAUAAGGUAACAAAACAAAAUCAGAGUAACUAAAAGUCAAAUUUAAUAAUUAACAAGUCCGAAACUAAUAAGAAACAUUAAUAAUUUUGUUUAUAAUAUUCUACCAACAAUUAUUCUCUAAAUAUUAAAUCAAAGAAAAAAAUCUAUAAAAAUACUUUCAAUAUUUAUUCUCUAGGCUAUGUUAAUCAUUCAUCUCUAGCGUCUAUCAUAACAGUGCCUUGUUAGUGGCUAGUUCUUUGGAUCCAUACAGAAAGAAGAGAUCCAAUAAUGAACUUAACAUUUCCAGAAGUAAUGAAUAUCUUAAUUAGAUAAUUUAAGUAUUAGAUUAAAUAAGUUUUCUUGCUAGUACUAACCAUACAAGCAAGAUCAUUAUGCUUUAAUACAACAAAUAUAGAAUGCCCAAAUUGUUCAAAUAUUCAUUUUUAUUAUUCAUAAGAAUAAUUUGAAAUAUUAUAUUCCAACUCAACAAUUUUUUAAAAAAGAGCAAUUUAAAAUAUCAUAUUUUAGCUCAACAAUCUUUUAGACUAUAAUCAUACUUAUAUUUUGUUGCCAGGCUAGAUUAUACCUAUAACUUGUGAUGUAGGUAAGAAUAUCACACUUAUACCUAUAGUGGUCCAGAUUACUCACUUAUAACUUAUGAAGUAAGUUAGAAUAUCACACUUAUAUCUCACGAGGUGGGUAACAUUACCGCAUUUAACCUUGUAGUAAGAGAAUAAUGAGUUCAGGAAUAAUCAAAGUGCUAAUGCAUCACCUUGAAUUAGUAGGAUCUAAAAUAUAGUGAAGCUGAGAGUCCAAAUUUAGACAAAUCAAAAGUAUUCAUAAAUCUUAUAUAUGUCAAAUUUAAAACAAGUAUGCAUUUUCAACAAAAGAUUUAUAAAUAUAUGCAUAAUGUUUGGUAUUGAGAUAACAUAUUAUAUUUAUAAUUUUAUUUUUCUUUUAAAACCCAAGUUCAUAAAUUUAUGAAUUGCAUGUUAAUAAAAUUAUAAUUUACUCGAUAUCAAUAUUUGUUUUGAAUCUACUUAUCUUGUGAGAAUAUUUAGUAGAUGAAUCUGACUUAUGCUUUACUUACUCUUUGUUCACUGUCACUUCUCCAUCAUCCUCUCUUUUCUCUUUUCUUCUCAUCCUUGGUUCAUUGGAUGAAGGUUAAUACGAAGAACUCCCUCCCCUUCUCUCUCUAUCUCUCAACCCCUCCUCUUUUUUUCAAUCUCUUUGCCCCUCGUAUCUCUCUUUCCCUCUAUUUGAAACCUUUGGCUAUCGAUUGACGCAUUUCGAUUAUGCUUCUCUCAAUGUCUUUAUCUUUCUUAAUGUUUCUUUUUUAUAUUAACCAUCUCUCUCUCUCUCUCUUUUUUGUUACCUUGAGCUAUGGUUAAUUAAUUAUUGGAUCUUUCUUUUUCUAUAUUACUCUCUAUUGCCUUGUAAGGAGAAACCUAAGCAGGUUAGUCAUAAAGUAACCACAUAUAUUUCAGCAUUAAGUAGUCAAAAAGAGAAACUACACUUCUAAAUAUUAUUCGCAAGCAUAUAAAUAAAAAACAAUAGUUUUUGUAAAGUAUAGGCGAUGCUAGACAGAACAUCGGCAAAUUACAUGUAAGAAGCUUAUCGACAACCUAUUAUUGAUUAUUUGCAAGUUAUUUUAAUUUUAAUAUGAAAUUGUAAGAAGCAUAAAGUUUAAAACACAUGAAUCCACUUGUAGUGGAUUAAGUUACCAAAUGCGUGCCCCAAAGUAUUUUCCAUUUAUCAUUAAUAAUAGAGUUUUGGAAUCGCAUGACUAAACUAAAGUGGUCCAAACAUGCUUAUGCCUUCAAUGCCCAUAAACUCCUUGUGCCAUUGGGCAUAAAUGCAGACAGUGGCGGUACAAAACGCACUCUCAAUGCCGAAUCCAGCCAAUAAUGCCCUCAGUCACGCGUAGAAUAGGCCAAAAAAUAAUAAUAAUAACAGCAGCGGUCGGGCGCCCCUUCGGUCCCAAAGUCCAGCGGGCCCUCGCUGGCGUUCCUUUUCCGAGUCCCCAUUCAGGUCCUCAGAGAUUUUCUCUUACGAGCGUUUCGCGGUGGGCCCACCAAUGAGUGCUACAUCCCGUGGGGUCCACAUGCCGCUGACCAGACUUCGAAUCGCGACCGUUGAAUCAGAAGGAUAUGGAAUUAGGAAGACAUACGGCGACUUGCCACGUAGCAGUCCGCAGAGUCGUGACUCCUCGAAGAGCAGUAAAUUAAAAAAAAAAAAAAGGGUGGGCCCCACGAAGCAACGAGCAAUCGAACGCGCAUGGGAGAUAACCGUUAGAACCACGCGGACCGAUCUGACCGGGAUCUAACGGCCAGGAUUAACUAGCCGUUGUUUUUAAACGGAGGAGAAAGAGGAAAGAGAGUAUCUAAGGACAUAUAUCCGCCCUCCUCGUACUUUCUCUCUCUCUCUCUCUCUCCCCCCUUCAAAAAUUGCUCAUUUUUCUGUCCUUUUUCCGCUCUCUCUUUUCGGGAUUCGAGAGAGAGGGUGUGAGCGGCGAUAAAUCCCCUCCAAGCCCCAGUCGAUGGAGUUCCGGCUGUAGCUCGAUUCCUCUCCUUCUUGGGAUCGGAAUUUCGAGUUGCAGAUCGCACCAGAUCGAGUGGAGUGAGACGACUCGUCGAGGUUCUGAUCAAUUUCUUCUUCUAACUUUCUUGGAUCUUUGUUUUUAAUUGCUUCGUUGGUAUUGGUUUGAUUAGAUCUAUCUUUCAUCUUUUGAAAAUUUUCUGGUUUUGGUUUGAAUAAAGAUCAGAGUUUCGGCGUUCUUUUCUGUGUGAAACUUUUGAAAAAAUCUAUCUUUUAUCUGAUUUCUAUUACAAUUGUAUCUGUUGCUGUUCUAGAGUACUGAGAAUGGAUACAGUUGAUGAGAAUCAUCUGGGCAUGACCAAACCUGCUAAUUUCCAAGGUAUUGUCGGAUAUAUUUAGAGAUUUGUGGUUUCUUUUGUGUGAUCAGUGCGAGAAUUUGAUCAUGAAGUCCGAAAUCUUAGCUCUCAAGCACUAUUUUUCACUUAUUUUCCUUUGUUUCUCCUUUGCUUGCAGACAUGGGAAAUCGUCGAGCAUUGAGGGAUAUCAGGAAUUUGGUUGGCGCUCCCCCGUAUCCUUGUCAAGUCGGCAAGAGGGGAUUGACAGAGUAAUACAUGAAACCUUAAACUCUCCUUGGAUUAAUUGUUGGAGAGUGCACUAAUUUCUAUUUUUAAUUUCUAGAUUUCUGACGUCUUCCAGCAAGAACAGAAUAGAUGAUAAGAAUUUAACCUUUGAGGGCCGACGGCCAAUCACUAGGUUACUUAAAAACUGUCUCCUUUUUUUUUCUUCUCUUUGUACGGGUCUCUGUUUGCUUAACAUUUGUUGAUGGAUUGUGUUUUCAGGAAAUUUUCUGCUUCCCUGGCAAACAAAUCACAGCUUUAUCAUCAGGUAGUUCUACAUUAAAAGAAAAGGAAACCUGUGGUUCAUCAUUUAUUAAGUUCGAAGGCAUGUUAGAUUUCUUUGUUGAUUCAUUUAAUUCUCUAUAGGAAACUGGCGGUCGGCAUGAGCUUGUAGGGAUUGACAGACAGAAAAAACCAGCCCCAUCCGUCCUUAGUUUGAAUAGUUUGGGUACUUGUACUGCUGCCAGAGAUGUGGAUGACCAUAAGUCAGUCAAUGAGCUGCCAUUGCCUAUGGUUGUGGAAACAGAAGAAAUGGUUUGAAUUAAUCUGAUAUUCUUUAUGAGAAGAUUUUGAACUAUUUUAGGCAUGGGUAUUGUUACUUUGAUUUUGAUUAAUUGUACAGGAUAACUCUGAUCUCAAGGAGGUUGAAAUGGAGGAUCUUGUAUUAAUUCCAGAUAUCGACAGCUGCGACUCUAAGAAUCCACUUGCGGUUGUGGAUUAUGUGGAAGACAUAUAUAACUUCUACAGACAAACUGAGGUGAAUUUUGACUUCUUAGUAUUAAGAAAGGGAUUAAUUAACUUGGUUUGUUGCAAUAACCUUAUUCUACUAAUCUUCUGAAAUAUAUCAUUUUUUAUGUAAAAUGAGUUGAAUGGUUAAAGCUUUGCUUGAAUAGUAUUUUUCGUUUGCAAUACGAAUGCUGUUUAAAUAAUAUGUCUGCAUGCUUAUGCAGAUUGCAGGAUGCGUCAACCCUAAUUACAUGUCAAACCAGUUUGACAUCAAUGAAAAGAUGCGAGCUAUCCUCAUUGACUGGCUGAUAGAGGUAGACAAGGAGAACCUUACUAUAACUUAAAUUAUCCGAAACCAUGGCUUCAUUUUUCUCUCGAGUUUUAGAAAUUCCUAACACUUUUUAUGAAUUUUUCUGCAGGUGCACUACAAAUUUGAGCUAAUGAAUCAGACGCUCUUUCUCACGGUAAACAUUAUAGACAGAUUCUUAGCAAAGCAGACAGUAAAUAGGAAGAAGCUUCAGUUGGUUGGCGUCACAGCCAUGCUUCUUGCUUGUAAGUAUGAGGAAGUCUCAGUUCCAGUUGUGGAAGAUCUGAUCCUAAUUUCUGAUCGAGCUUACACGAGGGAAGAAGUUCUUCAAAUGGUAAUCUCAAUAAUGGUGUACAUGCUCUUUAAUUUUAUUUUCUACACUCUUUAUCCACAUAACUACCACUUGCCAAUAUAGGCUGAUGUUGACUGAAGCCUUGCAACUGAUCCGUUAAUUUUCUCAGAAGUCCAAUUUAUGACUCUGCACUGAUCAGUAAAUCACUUUGUCUAUUAUUUGUGGAUCAUGUCAUAACUAUUAGGAAGUGCUCCCUUCCCUCCCCUAGGCCAGCUAUAAACAAUAUUCACGAGCCUUAUGCACGAUAACAACCAACAACUCAAUGGAAGUAGCAAAACCAAGCAACUAAGAGUAGAAACAUAUAGAAUUUACAUGGAAACCCCUUCAAAGAAGGAAAAAUAAACAACAGGGCACCAAUCAGGAAUCCACUAAUCAAUGAAAUGAAGAGUGCAACAGGUCCACAACAACAAGAAAAUUCCAAGAAUGCAAGAAAACCUCUACAAUAAAAUGCAUCAACAAGCUUCCAACUUACAAGAAAACCUCUUUGAAGCUUCCACACCUUCAAAGAGAGAAACCCUAACUUUCAGGAAGCAUUAAACACCCUUGUAUCUUGAACCUCAAUCCGAGAAGAACCUUGUAUGAGACCUUUGUUGUGUGUAGAAAUCAAAAACCACCACCUCUUUCCUCUUCUUCCUUGUAUUUUUUCUUGCAUUGUGUAGGCUACCGCUUAAAAAUAUAUAUGCCUUGUUAGUAUGAUGUAGACCACUCCAUAUGAAGCUAGCUCAAAACACUAGUAGUAAGCCCAACAAUAACAAAUGCCAGACUUGUCACUAUGGUGCGAUUUAUCAUGCUUAUAAUCACUUUUUCUUAUUCCUUUCCUUUUGUGUUGUGAUAUAUGAUAUCUACUUCAUGCUAACUGAUGCAAGCAGGAAAGUUUGAUGGUCGACACCUUGCAGUUCAACAUGUCUGUACCAACUCCUUAUGUUUUUAUGCGAAGGUUUCUUAAAGCAGCUCAGUCUGAUAAGCAGGUUUGGUUUGUUUAUUCAUCACAUUAGAAGUUCUAUUGAUUUCUUGACUGGCAUUGUUCUGAUGGAAAUAUACUUAUCCAUGCAAUGAUUUAGCUGGAAUUCCUUUCCUUUUUCAUCAUUGAGCUCGGUCUAGUUGAGUACCAAAUGCUCAAGUUCCGCCCUUCGUUGCUAGCUGCUGCUGCGGUCUUCACUGCUCAUUGUACUCUUAAAGGGUUCAAGCAUUGGUCUAGGACUAGUGAGCUACAUACUAGCUAUUCAGAAGAUCAGCUUCUGUGAGUUCUGAUUCUUUUCCCCUCUUUAAACAUUUUGCAACUAAUAGUAUUUCCAGUCAGGGUCUGAUUUUGUUUCCAAAAUUUUGGCAUUAAAAUUUCCAGUUUUUGCUGUUCUCUGUUGUAGUGAGUGCUCUAGGUUAAUGGUGGAUUUCCACCAGAAGGCUGGAAAUGGAAAGCUCACUGGGGUACACAGAAAAUAUAGUACUUUCAAGUUUGGAUAUGCUGCAAAAGCUGAACCAGCACUCUUUCUGUUGGACUCGAGAUCAUAGUAUCAGCUUGCAGGGUUACUUGAUGAUGCAUUUCUUAACUUUCUGUCAAAAAAAUGGUGCAACAGAAGUUGCAGAAGCUGGGGAAAUUAGGUUCUUCUAAUGGUUACUGGACAAUGAUCUUACUUGACAACUCUAUCAGGUUUUUCAAAUUUAAUGUUCAAAUUUGUAAAAAUGCCGCUGCCAAAUGGAAAAUAAUAGAUUAAUUGGCUUCUGCAUCCAUGUCUUGGUUUCUAGUUUCGUUUUUUGUUUAAGAUGCCAUCAACAUUUUAGGUUAACUCACUGGUUAGAAUUUUCAUCAGUCCACUUGUUUCCAAUUAGAUGAAAAUGGUUUCAAAUUCUACAUAUGUAAAUGUUAAUUUACGAAACAAGUGUCUUGCACAUUGCUGGUGGAAGGAUCCAUAUAAGGUGUUGGAUACUGUGCCAUGAAUCAAUGGAUAUUUUGCAUAAAUGAUAUAAUGUAGUAGAUUGUUCUUUAACAAAUUGACGUAGAUUUAUAGCAUAUAUGUCCCUUUUUUUUUGGUACAACGGCGGCUCACAUACUACGGAUGUGAAUGCGGGCCAACAAAAUUAGAAAACAAAAGACUACAUAAAGAUUUUAGCAUAGACCUAUUGUUUACCCCGACGAAACCACUAGAGUGGUGAGCCGCAGAGGAAGCCACCCAGUCAGCAAACCCAUUUGCCUCCCUGUAGACGUGUGAGGCUUGGUGGGAGUCGCACUCUCCUAGCAAUCUGCUGUGCAUCCUCGACCCCAGAUUCACUCAACCACCAUGGCCGAAUCUCCCUCAAGAAUGAUACGGUCCAUGUCCAGUGUCUGCCACGCAUAAUAGAUACCUUCUCAGGCUGCUCUAAGCUCGGCACAUACCACUGACGAGUCAAAGGUCUGUCGAUCCCCUGUUGCAACUAAUCUGGCAUCGUGGUCUCGGAUGGCGAACCCCACACCGCUGCAUCUCCUAUCAUCAGCCACGCUGCCGUUGAAGUUCACCUUAAGGAAGCCAGAAGGUGGGGGCACCUUGGAGACGAGUACUGUUCUGGACGUUGCAUGAGCAGAAUGGGGGCCCCAAAUGUUCCUAGCCAACUCAGGUAAUACCUCUGUAGCCUGGUGAUCUCCAUCGCAUACAAAAAAGCUCUAGCCGCUGUCACCCUCAGUUGAGGGCUGACACCUUCAAAAACUUGAACAUUCCUAUCCAGCCAACACUGGUAGCCAGAUAGGCAGCGCGAGUCCCACCCUUCUCAAGCUCAGAUCCUCAUGUCAAGGCCUCCAAAAAUCAUAAAAAAUCCUCAAUGGACGACCAUCUCUGCUACUAGUCCAGCUAGCCCGAAGUACAUCACCAAAUCUGACCGGCUCAGGGGCAUCCGAUGAGGGCAUGGUAGAUGGACUCCUCUACCUUCGGACAAGACACAUAAGCUAUAGGGACCCUCACACCCCAUCUCUCCAACAUAGCUCUGGUGGGCAAGCAUCCCUUGGCUCCAUUCUAGAGAAACAAGGCAACCCGUGGGUGAAUGUGCAUCCUCCAAAUCUAUCUGCUCUCCAUCUGUCGAGUUGAAGGCUCUCGGACCAGCCUCGAAAGGUCUCGGGCCUUCACCACCGGUGACCCAAUCAUGCUCCACACUCUCUUGUCCGUUGUUGCCACCUCCGAGAUGGGCACAACUAGAACUCGCUCAACCAGCUGCUCUCCGAACAUGUGCCUAACGAGAUCCUCAUCCCACCUCUACUCCCCUCUGACGAAGAGCUUGCAUACCCUGCGGCCCUCUAGCCACUCAUGGUCGGCCAUGGUGGGCCAACCCUACAGUGUACCCUUGGAUAAUCACCUAUCCUCCAGAAUUCCGACUGUCCGGUCAUCCCUGAUCUUCUAUCUGAUCGUCGAUAUUACCUUUGGGUCACGCAGAAAUUUAGCUAUUAAAAUCUUCUAUUUAUUAUAAUUUAUUAUAAUGUCAUAUUAUAUUUCACAAAUAAUUGACAAAAGGAGAUAAAACUAUACCUUGCGCGAGCUAGUAUUAAUGAUGCUGGUAUUAAUGAUGAAAAUUUCUAUAUGGAGUCUUAGCUUGUGCAUCUUUGUUUGCCAUUUUUAUAUCAAUAUGAAGCCAGUAUAGUAACUAGAGUUUCUCGGCUGUCAUUAAAGUUUAUUGCAUAAUGCAUAAUAGAAAGUUGACUAUUAAGUCUUCUAUUCGUUAUAAUUUAUUGCAUUACCUGUAUUUCAAGAAUAGUUAGAAACAAGAGAAAAAUCAUAUUCUGUAUAUAGUAUGGGUUAUAUGCUAGUUAACACAUAUUUUGCAGCAUUUAAUGUGCAUCGAAAUUGUCCUUUAGAAAUAUGAUUCAUGUAUAUGUUAAUGCAUGUUUUAAAUCAAAUGUUUGCAAUCCAUGAGAUCAAUGGUAAGAAGUACAAAGUUGAUAACUUUCUAUUUUUAAGGUUACUAAGAAAAUGAAAUAAGCAGAUUUCUUAAACUAUCUAUUUUUUGACAAUUAGAUGCAUAGGAUAGGAAUCACUAAAUCAUAUGAUUAUUUUGACAAUAAGUAGCUUCAAGAUAGUAGAUUACAUGCAACAGUUUAGAUCAUUGGUGGAUUGGCCUCUGGUCACCUCGUUAGUCAGCUUUAAGUCCGAAAUAUAGCUUGUUUAAGAAAUAAAUUGACUUUGUGUUAUAAAUUUUUCUUCCUCACCUAGACUACAGUUGACCCAUAUGCCAGCAUUAGAUGACUUGACCGGACCUUACUUCUUUUGUUUCGACUUAACACUAGAAACCUUGACUAUAAAAUUACUAAACCCUUUAUCAUUUGUACAAUUCCUAAUUACUUAGGUUUAUAGGUUGGAUAUUAAGCCUCUUUUUUCAUAAAUUAAUGGUUCAUUAAAAGUCAUGUUCUUGUUGUCAACAUCAUAGUAGCAUAUGCUUUUUAAAAUCUCUAUACUUGUUAUCUAUAUCAUUAUUAAUUUUUCUUAAGAAUAUAUAAUAAUGUUGCGUUUUUUGUAAUAUUGCAUUGAACAUGAACCUUGACAUCGAUCGAUCCUGGUCCAUACCCAAAUGCAUUUAGUUGGGUUUGGAUUGUUUUGACUUGACCCGGAUCUGGACAGUUUUACUUAAUCUGACCCAAUUCAUCAAUAGGUCGGAUCGUGAUCUGAAAUUGCGUUCAAAUAAAAUUGGGUUUGGCCCGCACCAUGUUUUCGAUGAAAUUGAUCUGAAAUUUCAUCGAUCCCGACACAACAUAGUUAUCGGUUUGAUUAUGGUGGAAGCCAUGGAUGAUAGUUGGGUCAUAAGUUGAGAUGAUGUGAAUAUGUUGUCCGUUUUCCUUUGAACAAUCUAGGAGUUGAGCCCUUAGACCUCCUCCAAAGGAGUGAAGGACAAAGUCCAUCUGAGAAAAGUGCCCCAGCCAACUUUUAUUGUUGCUACCUAUAAAUACAAUCGCUGAAUUCAGAGGGAAGGAGGAAGCCACCUACUCCUUAUAUGAAGAGCCGAGUCAUCCAACUUAUGCUUUGCAUUGUUGUGGUUCAUGGUCCUCUAUAUUAUUUGAUCAUUGGCGCUAACCAGGCUUAUGUUAUGGUGGUCAGCAACAUUUAAUAUAUUUGCAAUUGCUGUCUAUAAAGAUUUAUUAUUUCUGCCUAGAGACCUGCUAUUUAAAGUCUUUUGGAUGCAAGAUAUUGGCUAAAAUUUCAAUACCAAGACCUAGGAAUAUGAUUUUUUUUCUUUGUUGGUGCGGCAUCAUGUUAUUUAAAUGAGUAAUGCUAAUUGGUUUUCAUCUGUCCGAACAAAUCUUGAACCCACAUGUGAUAAAUUAAAGGGUGUAACUUGGUUGGGCUCAAUCGAAACCCACUCAUCCAACCUGCUCAUUGAGUUAGUUAGCUUGUAGCUAUACAAAUUUGGAUUAGGGUUGAGCUCAAAAAUAUCAACCCGAUCAUUGGUUAGGUUAGGUUAGGGUUGAUCUCCAAUCUGACUAAACUUGAUCGAAGCCCAACCUGACCUGAUCCAAGCUAACCCAACCUAGCAUAAAAGUUAAAUAAUUUGUAUAUCAUAUUGAUUCAUAUUUAUGUUUCAUAUGGAUUAUAUAUGUUCUUAAUCUUGUAAGUUGUUAUUUAAACUAAUAAAUGAUUGAGCCUUAAACCAACAGAAGUAUCCCAAAUCCUUUAUUUUAAAGUUCUUUUUCAGCCCAAUCUAAUCCGAUUUAUAUGGCCCAACUUGACCCAACCUGACUAAUUUGACCUAAUCUGAAUCCAGUUUAAGCGGUGAUUGGGUUGGGUUUAGAAAUUUCAACCCGCUUUCUGUUCGGGUUGGGUAAGGAUUGGGAUAUAUAGAUUGUAUUGGGUUAGUAUUUGCUCUUUACCUGUUUCGAGGUCUAAGUUGCAGCCUUUAGUAAAUUUACCUGAGUUACUUUUUUCCCUCUUUCAUCCUAAACCUAGGAUCCUCUGUGGUAUACUAUUUGCAUCGUAGAAUGCUGUGCAGCACUUAAUGGCUAUCAUCAGAAAAUGAACGGCCAUCAAAAGAGGGCACCGUAUAUGACAUGUAAAGUUAUUUGUUUUGAUGAUUAUUUAUCUGCCAGUGAUAGCCAUCGAGUGCUACACAAUACUUUAUGGUGCCAAUGAUAUUGAGAAUCUAUGCUUCCCAUCAUGGUAUGCAUAAUGAUAAAGCAUUUGGACCAUCUUGAUGCCCUUUGCAAGUAGUUUUCUCUUAGACGUCACACAGAGCAUACCACUAAUUCUACAUUAAAUUCACGUAUUGGGAUGCAUGACUGAUGCCAGUGGAACCAUAAAGAAGAAAGUUAGAAGAACGAUAGAGACCUUAUCAUUCCUCUCUCUCAACCCUUUCCAAAGUUUCAAAUAAUAUCAUAAUCUCAUUACCCUAGCUUUUCAUUGCGGUCAAUAUCAUAGCAAUAGAGGGCUUUGAUGGUGGAAGCCUAUUCAAAGAAGACCUGAUUUGUCAACUAAUUAAUAAUGCAAAUGCUAAAUAGUCCCUCGCCCUUUAUGCGCCUUUAUACGCUUAAAGCAUACAAAGUGAAGUCUCAACGAGCCAAAUUGAGUACGGCCUUAGACCUUUCUUCGGAAGACAGGAAAGAGUCGAAUUACUUAUCUAUUAGAGAACUAUCUCUCCAGGGAUUGUGAAAGAUGUUCCGCUAGAAAUAAUUGCUUCAACUCAUAUUCCUCCAAAAGUGGAUUCCGUUCUAACAGCUCCGAAUAAAUUAAAUAUGUGCAUUAAGUUAAGUUAGCCUUACCAUUCAUCUCCAAUCAUUCUUGAUGAGAUGCCAAUAUGAUUGAUGCUUAUAAAAUGAUUAUCUUGCACCUUGUCUCACCUAACACCCACACGUGCUCAUGUAUUAUAGCAGGGAUGAUGCUACGUUUACUCAAAAAUCUCCUUUGGUGCAUAUGAUCUCCAUUGGCAUAAGGUCUGAGAAUGAUGGAUGGUGGAAGUACUAUAACAAAAAAAAAAGUAAUAACAAGAUGUGUUGAUAUAUAGAUCCAAAUCAAUGCUUCCAAAAUAAGCAUCAUUCAUUAUUUAUUCCCAUUAAACUUUAUCAGAGUAGUAAUGGUACCAUAGAAAAAAAUAAAGAGUUCAUUUUUUAUUAUUUUAUGAUAAAAAGAAAAAUACUUAACAUGACAGCAUCAUUCAUCAGUUCUUGUUUGCACCAAACCAUAAACAAACUCACCUGAUGCUCAUGUUUUCUUGCAUCGCAGCAAUCUCUAAUCACGCUUAUUAGCGGCAAUACUUCAAAAGAAAACAACAACAAAUAACAAAAAUUUAAUUACAUUAUUAAUCAUAAAUAGAUACUUUGUUUUUACUUGGAGAUAGAUGUCAAAUGAUGGCCGUUAUAACAAUAGUGACAGUUGCAUGACAAAAGACCGCUAUCAUAGCCGUUAUAAUUAUAACGUACCCGUUUAUGCUGUACCGCUAAUUGAUCAAUAUCACUUAUCAUCAUCGGGUGGUCCACGUCGCAGGCGGCGGAGGCGCCAGGGAGAGGGGCAGAAUCGUGAAUCUGCGGAAAUCCACGGGCUUUUGUGAAAACUUCUCCUCCUCAGGGUUUUUCUUUCCCCCGUCGGUUGCUCGGGAGGAAAGAAGCCCUGCCGUGGAACUCUAUCUUCUCUUGUUCGAAAACAUAGAAGCUAGAUUCGGGAGAAGAAACCCUAGGCCCUCGAUCGUCGGGGGAGACGGACAUCUCUUUCUCGCUCUCGUCGUUUUCGAUGUCGUGCGGAUGCGUUGUUCUCCAAGAAGUGGAAGACGGCGAGGAGGCCAAGUCCAAGACCAGGGUUUCUUCUUCUUCUUCUUCUUCUUCUUCCUUGGGCCCUCGGAGAUGCCGGUCGGAGAGCAUGUUCCCCAUGUACGCCAUGGGGAAUUGGAGGCCCAAUGCGAUAUCCCGGACGAUCCUCGAUUCUGCCGGCGAUUCCAUUUGGGAUUCCGUGAGAGCGGAAUCGAAGUCCGAGGUUGCAGUUUUUCCUCCUCUCUUGCUUUUCUUUUGGUUAAUUGAGUCGCGGCAGUGGAAAAACUUCCAAUUUUUGUGUAUGUAUAGCUAGGAGAUGAUAUGGUCAGUCAAACAAAGCCGAGGGUCCAGAUUAAAAUGGAAUUAUCGAUUUUUAAUAGUGUUUGGAUUUAUAGUAGCUUAAAGGUUCUUGAUUUGACAUGGUCAUAGAGGUUAAUUUAUCCAUCGAUGGGUAAAAUUAUGAAGUAUAAAUGGAAACCGGGACCCUAUUCCAUCUGAAGUCCACUUCACCAAAAUUGUUAGAGUCUCGUGAUUUUGGAACAUAUAUCGUUAACACCUUUUAUUUGGUUAAAGAGAUAUCAUAAAGCUGCUACCUUUCUGUUUUCCUUCUAAAUGGAGGUGGUAAGCUCCUUGUAAAAUGUGAACAAGUGAAAGAUUACGAGAAUUUCAUGACCUGAUUAUGAUAAGUGAGGCAAUAUUACAGCUUCCUUGUUCUGGUCAUCAUACGUUAAUCAUAUUGCCUAUCAAGUUAUUUUCAUGCUUACAACAAUUACAUAUUGUUGUAAUGAAUUUAUCCAAUAUAUAUGUUUGAGUUAUUUGACCUAUGUAGCUGCGAUAUGUCCUGCUGAUGUGGUUAAAGUGUCUUUUUUUUCAUGCUCGAAGUUCCUAAUCAGUGUAUAUGCAUAUUUUCAGGCUGAGAGGGAGCCAAUUUUAAGUAGUUUUUUGUAUGCCAGUGUUUUAUCUCAUGAUUGUUUGGAGCGGGCAUUGGGGUUUGUACUUGCCAACAGGCUCCAGAACCCGACACUACUGGAUACUCAACUAAUAGACAUUUUUGAUGAUGUUAUGAUGAAGGAUAGAGGUAUUCAACGUGCCAUUCGCCUAGAUGCUCAGGUGAUUCCUUUGCCUUUUAAUGGAGGCAUCUGAAUUUCACCUUUAUCUAUAUCUUCAGUAGUUGAAGGUAUUUGAUGUUAAGAGAAGAUCAUUGACCAUAAGUAGAAAUACUUUUUCUAUAC